AAUCUUCCGCAAUGGACGAAAGUCUGACGGAGCAACGCCGCGUGAGCGAAGAAGGUCUUCGGAUCGUAAAGCUCUGUUGUUAGGGAAGAACAAGUAUCGUUCGAAUAGGGCGGUACCUUUACGGUACCUGACGAGAAAGCCACGGCUAACUACGUGCCAGCAGCCGCGGUAAUACGUAGGUGGCAAGCGUUGUCCGGAAUUAUUGGGCGGAAAGCGCGCGCAGGCGGUUCUUUAAGUCUGAUGUGAAAUCUUGCGGCUCAACCGCAAGCGGUCAUUGGAAACUGGGGAACUUGAGUACAGAAGAGGAAAGCGGAACUCCACGUGUAGCGGUGAAAUGCGUAGAUAUGUGGAGGAACACCAGUGGCGAAGGCGGCUUUCUGGUCUGUAACUGACGCUGAGGCGCGAAAGCGUGGGGAGCAAACAG
RNAcentral lists this ribosomal RNA (424 nucleotides) under uncultured bacterium. RNAcentral's name for it is "partial 16S ribosomal RNA". It matches the Rfam family "Bacterial small subunit ribosomal RNA", at positions 360 to 775 of the family's 1533-position model. The record is from RNAcentral.